GUAGCAGCUGACGCAGUUCAUUGUUAGGCGAGAGGCCAACUCCGGCUGGGUCAAGCUUUCCAACUGCAAGAAUCAAUUCAAGGAUAAGUAAUCGGUAGAACCUGCACUUCGAUUCAAUAUCUAACUUACACGGCAGCAGAAUCGUUAUAGCUGAAUACAGAUGUGUCCGUGAAGGUGUUACACAGGACCAUGGACUGGACCCGUGGGCAAUGAGAAUUGACUUCUGCAAAUUUUUGCGCGAGGAAACCACCUAGAUAUGAAAACAAAAAUCUGUAUUGUGGCAGCAUGAUUAUUUCGUAGUCAUAUGUUUAUGAUCCGGUUCGUAUUUAUUAGUCGAGUUGUCUGGCAAUAAUAAUAUGCUGGUAUACAGAUGGGUGGAAGUAACAUGAAAGGAAUGCAUGCAGUCUCUGGUUGGAUAAAAAAUACAGCGAGUAGAUAACAAGAAAUUGGGGCUGGGCGCCAAGACGUUAUCGUGAACAAAAAUACAAAGAGGCUGAUGAAGUCGUUGGAAAUAUUGUGGUAAUAUGCAAUGAUUGACAUUGCGAGUUGGAUUAUAAAUAACAUAUGUGUACGUAUCGCCGUUGGAUUGGUUUUCGCGAUAAUUUUACACGCAUGGAUGUGUGCGUCCUUACAUUCAGGCGAUUGAGGUGACGUUUCGAAUAUCAGUGAAGACCUUUCUGCGCUGCGAUAACGCGAUAUCCUUUGGCGGCCAAUCCCAUGAUUUGCUUGAAGAAAAUAUCCGCAGUUCCGCUGACCGGGGGAAGACAGAUUAGUGGACAUCUCACAGUUUUUGGCCCCGAAUCGUAGACCUUCCAUCCCUGAA
Molecule: long non-coding RNA, 823 nt
Organism: Neodiprion virginianus
Lineage: Eukaryota; Metazoa; Arthropoda; Insecta; Hymenoptera; Diprionidae
Exons: 4
Source: RefSeq, a predicted model, not a curated record